GACGAACGCUGGCGGCGUGCCUAAUACAUGCAAGUAGAAUGCUGAAGGAGGAGCUUGCUUCUCUGGAUGAGUUGCGAACGGGUGAGUAACGCGUAGGUAACCUGCCUGGUAGCGGGGGAUAACUAUUGGAAACGAUAGCUAAUACCGCAUAAUAGCAGUUGUUGCAUGACAACUGUUUGAAAGGUGCAAUUGCACCACUACCAGAUGGACCUGCGUUGUAUUAGCUAGUUGGUGGGGUAACGGCUCACCAAGGCGACGAUACAUAGCCGACCUGAGAGGGUGAUCGGCCACACUGGGUCUGAGACACGGCCCAGACUCCUACGGGAGGCAGCAGUAGGGAAUCUUCGGCAAUGGACGGAAGUCUGACCGAGCAACGCCGCGUGAGUGAAGAAGGUUUUCGGAUCGUAAAGCUCUGUUGUAAGAGAAGAACGAGUGUGAGAGUGGAAAGUUCACACUGUGACGGUAUCUUACCAGAAAGGGACGGCUAACUACGUG
This 495-nucleotide ribosomal RNA is filed under the name uncultured bacterium. RNAcentral's name for it is "partial 16S ribosomal RNA". It matches the Rfam family "Bacterial small subunit ribosomal RNA", at positions 28 to 507 of the family's 1533-position model. The record is from RNAcentral.